Cordylochernes scorpioides is the source of this 72-nucleotide non-coding RNA. NCBI's taxonomy places the organism in Eukaryota, Metazoa, Arthropoda, Arachnida, Pseudoscorpiones, Chernetidae. The record is from the annotation of a GenBank genome assembly.
UGCCGAAACCCGGAAUCGAACCAGGGAUCUUAUCUUCAGUCUAACGCUCUCUCCCAACUGAGCUAUUUCGAC